CCGUGUUGUAGUGGGCACAAGGAAGGGCGUAACUCAUGUCUUUCAGAACAACUGAAACUUUUAGCAUAGAAUAAAGAACCAACAGCAUAGAGUAACAUAGUAAAGGAUAAGAGUGGACCCUCAAGCCGUUUCGCGGCCGAGCGAUGGACUUUUCUUUCUCUAUGCUAUGGAGCUUCGCCGGUUCCGCUAGGUGGCAGAGCACAUCAAGAAAAAUGUGCCUGCGGCUGCGGCUAGCACCUUCACAGGUGGCACGACCCAAUACGUGCGAAGCCUAGACAGGUCUCGUCGCCGGACUCGCGGUUCUGUAAAAUGCGCCCGAGGAUCGUUGCUGGGUUCUUCUGCUAGCGUGUGACACUACUGCUUCGUCGCUGUUUCAUGGAAUCUCCACUAUUUCCUCAAGAUAUGCUCUAGCGCCAAAUGAUAUCAUGCAUAUUCAAGGGCAAGUUUCCAAGUAUCAGAAGAGUUAAAGACGGUUGCAAGGCUUCGAAGAUAGCAGGCACCUGGAGCGGUACAAGUUUACGGACGCUAUUCUACGAUGUCAAAGUGACAUAAGACGUAUUCAUACGCGUUUAUUGCGAAAAGUUCCUUGACCCAUAAUAAGAGAAAUCUACACUCUAAGA
Dermacentor albipictus is the source of this 620-nucleotide non-coding RNA. The record is from RefSeq and is a predicted model, not a curated record. NCBI's taxonomy places the organism in Eukaryota, Metazoa, Arthropoda, Arachnida, Ixodida, Ixodidae.